RNAcentral lists this ribosomal RNA (668 nucleotides) under Butyriboletus roseogriseus. Its description in RNAcentral is "eukaryotic LSU rRNA". It matches the Rfam family "Eukaryotic large subunit ribosomal RNA", at positions 1 to 664 of the family's 3401-position model. The record is from RNAcentral. Lineage: Eukaryota; Fungi; Basidiomycota; Agaricomycetes; Boletales; Boletaceae.
UUGACCUCAAAUCAGGUAGGACUACCCGCUGAACUUAAGCAUAUCAAUAAGCGGAGGAAAAGAAACUAACAAGGAUUCCCCUAGUAACUGCGAGUGAAGCGGGAAGAGCUCAAAUUUUGAAUCUGGCAGUCCUUGGCUGUCCGAGUUGUAAUCUAGAGAAGUGUUUUCCGCGCUGGACCGUGUAUAAGUCUCCUGGAAGGGAGCGUCGUAGAGGGUGAGAAUCCCGUCUUUGACAUGGACCACCAGUGCUAUGUGAUGCGCUCUCGACGAGUCGAGUUGUUUGGGAAUGCAGCUCAAAACGGGUGGUAAACUCCAUCUAAAGCUAAAUACAGGCGAGAGACCGAUAGCGAACAAGUACCGUGAGGGAAAGAUGAAAAGAACUUUGGAAAGAGAGUUAAACAGUACGUGAAAUUGCUGAAAGGGAAACGCUUGAUGUCAGUCACGUUGGCUGGGGAUCAACCUUGCUUCUCGCUGGGUGUACUUCCCGGUCGACGGGUCAGCAUCAGUUUCGAUCGCCGUACAAGGGUGAGGGGAACGUGGCACUCCUCGGAGUGUGUUAUAGCCUUUUGUCAUAUGCGGCGGUUGGGACUGAGGGAGCUCAGCACGGCUUCUUGCUUGUGCUUAGGAUGCUGGCAUAAUGGCCUUAAGCGACCCGUCUUGAAACACGG